CGGACGGGUGAGUAAUGCCUAGGAAUCUGCCUGGUAGUGGGGGACGAACGUUUCGAAAGGAACGCUAAUACCGCAUACGUCCUACGGAGAAAGCAGAGGACCUUCGGGCCUUGCGCUAUCAGAUGAGCCUAGGUCGGAUUAGCUAGUUGGUGAGGUAAUGGCUCACCAAGGCGACGAUCCGUAACUGGUCUGAGAGGAUGAUCAGUCACACUGGAACUGAGACACGGUCCAGACUCCUACGGGAGGCAGCAGGC
RNAcentral lists this ribosomal RNA (254 nucleotides) under uncultured Pseudomonas sp. RNAcentral's name for it is "partial 16S ribosomal RNA". It matches the Rfam family "Bacterial small subunit ribosomal RNA", at positions 99 to 354 of the family's 1533-position model. The record is from RNAcentral. Lineage: Bacteria; Pseudomonadati; Pseudomonadota; Gammaproteobacteria; Pseudomonadales; Pseudomonadaceae.